Molecule: ribosomal RNA, 487 nt
Filed under: uncultured bacterium
Lineage: Bacteria
Description: bacterial SSU rRNA
Rfam family: Bacterial small subunit ribosomal RNA
Source: RNAcentral
GAUGAAGCCUAGCGACAGGCCUAACACAUGCAAGUCAGGGGCAGCACAUGAGUAGCAAUACGAUGGUGGCGACCGGCGCACGGGUGAGUAACACGUAUGCAACCUGCCUGUAAGACGGGGAAUAACCCGGAGAAAUUCGGACUAAUACCGCAUAAUACCACGAGACUGCAUGGUUUUGUGGUUAAACAUUUAUGGCUUACAGAUGGGCAUGCGUAUGAUUAGAUAGUUGGUAGGGUAACGGCCUACCAAGUCUACGAUCAUUAGGGGUUCUGAGAGGAAGGUCCCCCACACUGGUACUGAGACACGGACCAGACUCCUACGGGAGGCAGCAGUGAGGAAUAUUGGUCAAUGGGCGAGAGCCUGAACCAGCCAAGUCGCGUGAAGGAAGAAGGUUCUAUGGAUUGUAAACUUCUUUUGCAGGGGAAUAAAGGACGGUACGUGUACUGUUUUGUAUGUACCUUGCGAAUAAGGAUCGGCUAACUCCGUG